This 95-nucleotide non-coding RNA is filed under the name Lawsonibacter asaccharolyticus. RNAcentral describes it as "SAM riboswitch (S box leader)". It matches the Rfam family "SAM riboswitch aptamer (S box leader)". Rfam says of the family: The SAM riboswitch is found upstream of a number of genes which code for proteins involved in methionine or cysteine biosynthesis in Gram-positive bacteria. The SAM riboswitch acts at the level of transcription termination control. The record is from RNAcentral. Lineage: Bacteria; Bacillati; Bacillota; Clostridia; Eubacteriales; Oscillospiraceae.
CUUAUCAAGAGUGGUGGAGGGAACGGCCCGAUGAAGCCCGGCAACCUGCGUUCCGCAAGGUGCCAAAUCCGGCGGUAGUGUAUCGAAAGAUGAGG